UGGGGCCUUGAGAGACAAGGGCAGGACCCGAAGAAUGAAGACACAUCUGUCAGCAGAAACCACAACAGUAAAGAUAAACAGCCUGCCUAGGGACAGCGAUGAGACCCAAUAAGGAGCAUGAGACCCCAGACCUAAAAAUUACUAUUGAUCCAAACUACCGCAUGAGGGGUAGAGAGCUUAGAUUGGAAAGUUAUAAAUGCCCAGGGAUUUCUUUGUUCGGGGUCCCUCUUUGGAGGUACCCAGCCUGAGCUGUAAUUACUGCACGCGCUCUCUGACGGCAGGGGGAAGGAAGGAGCCCGGUGGAGCAGCCGCCUCCGUGCGAAACUCUGCACUCCUCAUGGCUGGGCCAUGGCCACUGCCACUGCUGCCGGGGGGGGACCCCACUGCCGCCAAGUUCGGCGACACCAUCCGCAGCCAGUCCGCUUGCAAUGUUUGGAGAUCUCAAACAGAGUCAGCGGAACAUCAUCUGACUCGCAGUGGUGGUAGCUAGUUUCUUCUCUUCUUUUCCAACUUUCUCUAUCCUUUCCCCUUACCCUUGUUCCCCUCUCCCCUUCGCCUCCCCUCUGCCUUUCCCCACCUUUUCUCCCCACUUCGUGGAAAAUAAAGUUGAAAGGUUGUACGAUAUUUGACCAGUUUUAGCGUCUUAAUCUCAUCCUUGGGAUUGUAACGAAACCCUCCCGAUAUUGGAUCGGGACGGAUGGUUGUCAACUUAGAACCCAGAGGGACAUGGAAGAGUGAAAAUAGCACCAGAGAAGAGGGAUCAGAUACCUCAGGAGCAAUACCAGGAAAAGCUGCCUGAUUGGAUUUUACCGUUGUGCCUGAGUACUGACGUGGUGGGACUACUUCUAAAGACAGACUACAUUUUUCCCCAGUUUCAUGUCUUAUUCAGUCAUCUCAAACUUUGUCAGCAUUCAGGGCACCAAAACUAUUUUCAGUCUUGUAGGCUGGAAUAAAAUGGAGUCCAAGACACAUUUCAAGGGCCCUGGUCUUCAUGGGGGACUUUAACCACCCCAACAUCUGCUGGAGGGGCAACAAGAAAUCCAGGACAUUUCUGGUGUGCCUUGAUAAUAAUUGUCUGACAGAGAUGGUUGAGGAGAGGCACUUUGCUGAACCUGAUCCUUACAAACAAGAAAGGACAGGGAUGUGAAGGUGAGGACAAUCUUGACCGCAGUGACUGUGAGAUGGAGGAGUUCAGCAUCCUGAAAGGAGGCAACAAGGCAAAUAGCAGGAUCACGACCCUGGACUUAGGAGAGAUGACUCUGGCCUGCUGAGGAACCUGCUUGGAAGACCCCCAUGGAAGGUGGUCCUUGAGAGAAGGGAGGUUAAGGACACUUCAAGAAAAGGCAGCAGUAGGCCUGCAUGGAUGAACAAGGAACUGCUGAAAAAACUCAUACAUAAAAAGGAAGCAUAUAAGAAGUAGAAGUAAGGUCAGGUAACCUAUGAGGAACAAAAAGACACUGUCCAAGCAUGCAGGGAUGUUCAGGAUAGGAAAGACAACCUGAGCUGAAUCUGGAGAGUGACAUGAAAGGCAACAAAAAAGGCUUCUGCAAGUACAUCAGCAGCAAAAGGAAGACUGGGGAAAAUGUGGGCCCACUGGUGAAUGAAGCAGGGGACCUGCUGCCAAAGGACAUGAAAAAAGGCCAGAGUACCCCAUGCCCUCUUCACGUUGGUCUUUUCUGGUAAUAUUUGCCUUCAGAAAUUCCAGACCCUGAAAACGCAUGGGAAAGUCCGGAGCAAAGACCAGCAGGAGGGUUCAGGUGGACCAGGUGAUCUCCAGAGGUCCCUUCCAACCUCAACCAUUCUGUGAUU
This is a long non-coding RNA of Dromaius novaehollandiae (emu), 1809 nucleotides long. RefSeq lists it as uncharacterized. The record is from RefSeq and is a predicted model, not a curated record. The transcript has 5 exons. NCBI's taxonomy places the organism in Eukaryota, Metazoa, Chordata, Aves, Casuariiformes, Dromaiidae.